This 253-nucleotide ribosomal RNA is filed under the name uncultured bacterium. RNAcentral describes it as "partial 16S ribosomal RNA". It matches the Rfam family "Bacterial small subunit ribosomal RNA", at positions 524 to 776 of the family's 1533-position model. The record is from RNAcentral.
UACGAAGGGUGCAAACGUUGCUCGGAAUUAUUGGGCGUAAAGCGCACGUAGGCGGCUUUUCAAGUCUGAUGUGAAAGCCCUCGGCUUAACCGGGGAAGUGCGUCGGAAACUGGAAAGCUUGAGUACUUAAGAGGAUCGCGGAAUUCCCGGUGUAGAGGUGAAAUUCGUAGAUAUCGGGAGGAACACCAGUGGCGAAGGCGGCGAUCUGGGAAGAUACUGACGCUGAGGUGCGAAAGCGUGGGGAGCAAACAGG